RNA transcript from Herpailurus yagouaroundi (jaguarundi), 3200 nucleotides. It is a transcript of the gene named family with sequence similarity 237 member B, with no coding region annotated. The record is from RefSeq and is a predicted model, not a curated record. Lineage: Eukaryota; Metazoa; Chordata; Mammalia; Carnivora; Felidae. The transcript is spliced from 7 exons.
AACAUACAACUCUUACAAUUCUGUGUCAUGAGAAUCAAGAAAUCACAUCAAACACACUAUUUUUCUAUGAUAUUAUCCCUCAGCAACUUAAAAGUAUCUUAUGCAAAAAGAUAGUGAGGAGAAAGGGAUAAUGGAGGGAUGGGCAAAAUGGGUGAAGGGGAGUUAGAGAUAGAGACCUCCAGCUAUGGAAUAAGUUACAGGGAUGAAAAGUACAUACAGCAUAAGAAAUAGAGUGAAUGGUAUUCUAACAGUAUUGCAUGGUGACAGACAACAGCUACACUUGUGAUGAGCAUAGCAAUAACUAUACACUUGUGGAAUGACUAUGUUGUACACCUGAAACUAAUGCAACAUUACAUGUCAACUAUACCUCAAUUUCUAUAAAAGAUAUGGAGGGGAGAACAAAAAGCAGAUGAGACCUUAUAGGAGUAAAUAAAUUUUGGAGUUGAAAAAAAUAUUAAAAAUGCCUCUUGAAUUCUAGUAUUAUCUUAUAAUCUUAUGGUCUUUAAAUUUCAAAACACCUGUAAUAAUCGCACUUCCAUGCUUUGGAAAAUGAAAUGAUCCGGUACAUAUAUAUUCCACAUCCCACACAUGCACAAUACAUUGAGUUUGUCUAUGCAGAUAUACAUAAGACUCGCUUCUAAACUAUAGGUAGGAGAUCAUCUUCCUGAACUAGGUAUCCCCUUUCUCAGUUGGUACCAGCAUUCUUACAGUCAUCAACAUUAGAAAACAGAAUUUCCAAGUUCUAUAGAUUUUACAUUUUAAAUAUUUCUUGAGCACAACUGAUUUAUUCACAGAGUUGUGAAGGUAUCCUGCUGUUCUCAGUGCCUCUACUCUCCCACCCUUCAUCAUGGUCCUCUACUCUAUGUGGUCCUCUACUCUAUGGUGAAUAAUAAAACUCAAUUCUGAACAUAAUCCAUCUAAAUCAUUCAGUUACUCUCCAUUAGUGCCCCUCACCCCUCCUCUAUUUUCCUUCCCUUGGUUAAACCCCACGGGUGCUUCAAAACUCAGCUCAGGUAUUGCCUCCCCAAGGGAAGGAAAAGGAUAGAACAAAUGUCCUUCCUUUGUGCUCCCAUAGCACCCUAAGUUCUUUAUCCACUACAAUUCCCAUCAUGGUUCUAGAAUGGUUUGCAUGUUUAUCCCCCACCACACCCUCCCCAAAGCUCACUCAAGGCAAAGACUUUUGUUUUCUGGCACCCCAGCUCCAGAAACUGGGCCUGGCAUAUGAAGUUAUUUGUAGCGAGUGAAGGAACAAGAGCCAUUAGAUACCAAAUUCACCUACUUCUCAGUUGUGCCCGGUUCCUGGGACAAUGGCAGUAACGUUGAGCCCCCCUGCAGCCUUGGGAGUGGAGAGCUGCUGCUCCUGAAAGUCUUUCUUCUCCCUACCCUAUUGGAAUACGUCCACAAAACUGAUAAGGAUUGCUGUGAGAAGACAGAAUGAGAUGGUAGUUUGCAGAUUGGCGUUUUGCACUUAAGUACCCAGGUUAAAACUGUCAUAGAAACAACAAAGUCCUUGCUACCUGUGAUGACCUGAAAAUAAAAUGCAGAACAAUCCUGCUAGAGCCUGGGAUUGGGAAGUCCUCACGGGAAGAAAGCCAGGAGGAAAGAAAGGUUUCUAGACCACGUGUUUCGGCAGCAGUGGCACGGUGCUCCAUUUAGAAGGGAGUUGAGCAUGAUACAGCUUCUGUCAUCUCUGCAUGUUAAAACAAUCUAAGUACAGUCGACUGAGAUCAAUUUUCUGGUUAAUGAUGAAGAUUUAUAGAACAGCAGGAGAAGUUGACUCCUGGUGCUCAUUUAGAGGAAAGCCAACUCUGCUCAAAGGAGGAAGAUAUCUUCAACAGAACAGGAGAAAGCCAACACACAAAAGUACAAGCAAGAAAUGGGGAAAGACACAGAAGAGUCCUGGUGAUAUAUUUUAAGUAUUUAGAGUUCCGGAGACCAGAUAAUGAAUUUUUCAGUCACACAAGCCAAUACAUUUCCUUUUUUGCUUUAGUUUCAAUAGGGUAUCUAUCGCUGGCAUUUUAAAGACUCCUGAGUAAAGCAUAUGCCAAUCAUCAGAUAUUUAUGGAACUCAACUUUAUAAUAGACACUGAGGAAAAAUAAAUGAGACGUUAUGUCUGUUCUGGAGGAGCUCACAGUUUAUUUCCUUAAUAAAUAUUAUUCCAAAUCAUUUAGUGAUUUAACCAACAUUAUAGAGUACUCUGGGAGGUGGGUGUGUGUCUACGAAUAAGAAUAGAAGUUUUAUCUACUGUAAUCGAACAAAAUAUAAUGCACUACGUUUAGAUGUUUUAACUCUGAGUUGUAGGAUGGCAAAGAUGUUAACACACAAAUCUACACUUAUUCAAUAUAAACUCAUUAAUUCUAUUGUGAAUAAUAUUAGGCAGUGGGAAUGUGAAGUUAAAUGAGAUGGAGCCUCUGCUCUCAAAACCUCAAAGUCUAGGGGAGAGGGCAGAAAUUUCAACAACUAACCGCAUGGUAAUGCAAUGAAUUCUAAAGGAAGGCAGUUUUAUAGACAGAUUGUGGCACGGAAAGGGUGAGGGCUCUCUUGCAGACCUGGUCCUGGGGCGUCAAGCAAGUUGGCAGCAUUUGCUGAGUGAGGGCCACUUCAUACAGAAUCUGGGUGAAAAGGCAAAGUGGCCUUGGAGAAGUAUCCACCCAUUCAUCUGCACUGUAGGAAGACCAUACAGAAGAGCAAGGCCAAGGAAAAGUCCAGGGCAGUGAGGGAGCCUGUUGGCUCUGUGGUCCACAGUUAGAUUUGUGCCAGAAACCAAGAAAAUAAAAUACCAGUCAAAUCAAAUAUGUUGGUUUCCAUCCGACAUUAACCAAAUGUAUAAUUUAAAUUCUACAGUAAAAUCUUUUCAUGAAAGAAAAAAAAAAAAAACCAGGAAACUACAUAGUGUUCAGAUGUUUGGAACUCCAGAUUUGACCCGAAGUUCUCUAACUUUCAUCCCAUUUAAAAAGCAAAACAUAUUUUUGAUGCGACUGUUCUGUUUUGCUGUACCAGGAUGGCUGCUGACCUGAUGUUCCUGCUAAAUAUUGACACAGCCCAACUGACUCAUGUUUUUGUCAAAGAGUUUAGAAUAUGAAGAAACUGGAUGACUAGAAUACAAUAUGAAUUGCUUUGCAUUUCCAAACCUUCUAAACUUUCAAGCAUAUACUUGUUUCACCACAUUUAACUAUGUAAAGAGAAGAUGUUUUUUUCA